RNAcentral lists this long non-coding RNA (277 nucleotides) under Elaeis guineensis (African oil palm). RNAcentral describes it as "long non-coding RNA (EGUI_LNC066432)". Lineage: Eukaryota; Viridiplantae; Streptophyta; Magnoliopsida; Arecales; Arecaceae. The record is from RNAcentral.
GCCGAUUUCACGGUUGCAAGGUACUCCUUGCAAUUUUUCUUCCAGUGGCCCUCCUUACCACAGUGAUAAUAAGUACCUUUAACGGAGACCUUCUUCGCCUUCUUCUUGGAGAUGUCAGCCUUCGGGUUCAAUUUUUUCUUGAAACCCUUUUUUGCCUUCUUCUUGCUGAUCUUAUCAGUAUGAAGAACCUGAGCUUUUUCACCCUUGAAAUGGUUCUCUAUUGUUUUCAGCAUGUUCAGCAGUUCUGGCAAGCUGAUGUUCAAUUUGUUCAUGUGAU